ACCAAAGCUUCUAAGACAAAUGAGGUACAUAUUUAACUUGGAAAGAUGUAAAAUGCUUUACUUGAAAUGUAAAAAAAGGCAUUGAUAUUUGGAUAUAUGCAAUUGGCAGUUUAUAUGAUGGUGGAUAUAAGCAAAUGCAUCUUAGAAAAACUCCAGUGUGCUUCCUCUCUCACAUUAUGUGACUAUAAAUUUUCCUAGAAUCUUUCCAAUUUUCUUAUGAUCUUUUCUUUCUAGAAGUGUUUCACUGGAACACAGCAAAUCAAGUGGUGUAUCUUUUUCAUUUUCAACAUGAAAGAGGCACAAAGUAUAUUUAUCUGCAGCAUCCUCUAUUUAGCUUAGCUUCUUUCCUGGCUUGUAUGCUUGUUUAUAUACAAAUAGGGGCAUGCAAAUGGUCGGUUCGAUUUCAAACCGAACCAAACUGACAAAACCAAAAAUUGAAAAUCAAGAUUUUGAAAAUUGAACCAAACUGAUCACUAAGAGACAACUGAACUCAACCAAAUCGAUAAAUAUCAGUUCAGUUCAGUUUUAAAUCGAUUAAACUGAAUUUUGCAAGAUUUCAUAUUUUUAACAUCAAAUCUCAAUAACGAAAACAUAAAAAAAAAACUUAGAAAUCAGAACUCAAAAAUCUUAGGGUUUCUUUUUUAUAUAUAUAUAGUUUGGUUAUUUUCAUAAAAAUCAGUUUUUUUUUUUAUGAAAAUAACCAAACCGAACCGAUUAAUCCGAAAUUAUCAAAAUUAUAAACCAAACCAAACCAAUUGAAUUUUAAAACCGAACCGAUGAACUGAAUUGACUCGGUUUGGUUCGGUUUUUCGGUUUGAACCGUAUUGUGCUCAGCCCUAAACAUGAUAUGAAAAAGGCAUCGCCUCUGUCACCUCUCGCCUUUCUCUCUGGGACAGUCGACUCACAUAAUUCAAGCGAGGCACAGCCAAGCAAGGCGCUAGAGGGUCGCCUCACCUCGCCCAACGCCUUUAACAACACUGCAUAUAAGUAUCAACACAUUAUGAUGCACAAGGGGGAAAAAAUCAGUAUGCACACUGAGAGGUUAUAACUUCAAGAUCAAGAAAUUAUGUGGCAAGGGAAUUCAGGCAAGAACAUAUAUCAAACAUCAUUACAACCAAAACCGCAAUUCUGCAAAUUCCACUAACCUUGACAUUGAUGAUACAAGGUCUCUGUUGUUAUUAGAGUGCAAAAUAACACAAAGUAAGUUGUACGCUGCAAAUUCCAUGCAGCAUCCUUCGAUUCCUUCAUCAUACAGGGUUUUUAACUGUGAUUGGCACUGAUUACACUCAGGCAAGUCCCCUACUUCCAUUGCUAACCGAGCAUGAGUUUCAUACACCUUAACUGUUAGCUGAUUUUUUAUUCGUUGUACGGUUAGAUCUUGGCGAAUAGACUUCAAUUGAUCACAUUUAUAAAGGUAGUUCUUCUGAGAAAUUUGAACCAUAAGCAGAGCUUUCUCUAGCACUUCUUCUGGCCUCACAGUGGAAGGAUCAGGUGCAGAAGUGAGUCGCAAAUAACGUUUCUCAAUUUCCUGGCAGGUCCCUUUAACAGUUAGUGCAUCCCAGUCAAUAUCUUCAACAGCCCUGCUUCCACCAUCAUCAAAGUUUUUGCAAAGCAUCAAGGCACUAGCCCGUUUACUGUACAGGUUUCCAGCUCCAGCAUUUUUUGGUUUGAAGUAAUUAAUUUCUGAUUGAUGCCCUUGUACUUUUUCAAAACGCUUAGAGCGAUUUUCACGUUUCUUUUUUUCCUCAGGUGAAUUUGCAAGCGCUAUUGCACCAGAAUAAUAAGCUGCUAAACUUUGUUCCUUAUCACUAUCACUUGAUGCAUUGCCAUUUUCGGCACUAUUAAAAGCAUCAGCAAUACGCUGCUUCUUGAGUGGCUUCUGGGAACCCUUACUCAGAGUUUUCUGCUCCGAUAAAGAGAACUUGAGGUCACUGAAAGCAUCAACCUUGCUCUCAGAAUUCCCAAUAAAAGGCUUUCCAUCCCAACCACCAUAUUUUACAUCAUCAUUACUGACAGUAACAGUUUUUUCAACCAACUUCUCCUCAGGUAAAGGCUCCCACCUACUUUUGGAUCGUUUGCUUGGACUCUUGUACUUCAUUAAUGAAAGAAGAGGAAUUGAAGACUGUGAGCUCUCCUUGUUGGCAAAAUCAGGGUUCGGUAAUGGAAAAAGAGGCUCAGUAUCCCAGUCUCGAGUGUGAAGUGUACCAUCAGCAGUUGCCUUAGUAAUAAUCUCCUUCAUAACAGCCUGACAAGAUGCCAUUUGUGGAUCAUUUUUACAGUGAUCUUGACAACGUUUCAAAGCCCUUUCAACAUAAAAGCGUAGUGAAUUGGGGAACAUGCCAGGCUUCAGUAUGGAAUCAGCCGCAUCAGUAGACAACACUUUAUCACUUUGCUUUGGCAUUGAGACAGCAAUAUAAGCAGGUUUUGCUGCUGCUGCUGCACCAGUUGCAGAACUAUCCUUAUCGGUUUUUGAUAAACCCAAAGCCAAAUUUGACGCAAUUCUCGGAUUUGUUGGAAUCUGCAAUUUGCUUAUCCUUCGUGUAUCCAGUGAUGGGACUGUUUGUGCAGGAGGUUGGUAAUUCUGGGGCACAUGAUGAGCAGGAGCAUAUUGUGAAUUAGGACCUUGACGAACAGUCUUUUGUUGUUCCUCAAAAUUAUCAUAAGAAGUUUUUGAAUCCAAAGAUUUUUGAAAGUGAGGUUGCAUAGGACUAGCAUGAUGAUUUUGAGAACUUGCCACCCCUUGCUUCCAGUAGUUAUCAUGAUUACCACUAGUAGAUGGACCACCCUGCAAAGAUGAAAACUCAGAUGAAGUGGAUUCUGGCCUCCAGGAUGGGGUAAAAGAUGAGGGAGGCUGACUGCUGGAAUUCGGGUAACCAGUAGUAACACCUGGAACUGAAUUCACCUGGUUAGAUGUACUAGCAACAGACAAGUGUUCCGUCCCAGGAGCACAGGUAACUUCUGUUUGAUUGUAAUAAUCUGCCCAUUGCUUGUAUUGUUGUUGGUAAUUUACUGAAUUUGCAACUGCAGUACCAGAGGUAUAAGCACUUGUUGUGUCUGCAGUGUAAUUUGAGUACUGAUGAGUUGUAUAGUUAGCAUAAUUGCCAUCACUCCACAUAGUAGUCUGAUUACUGUAUCCACUACUUGGGUAAGCUCCAGCUGUCUGAUAAUCACCAGGAUUGUAAUAAGUGGCUGGAUAACUUGGAGUCCCAGCAUAAGACCCUGUAUUCUGAAAUGAGGAAAGAGGCUGAUAAGGAGCACCUGUGUUUUGAUAUGCUCCUAGAGGCUGAGAGUAUGCAUGGUUAGGUUGCUGCUGAGAGUAUGAAUGGUUAGGUUGCUGUUGAUAGCCAUUAUAGUAACCUGGAUAUCCUGUGCUUGCAUAACCAUAUGGAUCAGUAGGAUUUGAGUAUGAUGCGUAGCUACUAUAAUCCUGUGAGGCACUUGUAGUUCCCAAAGUUGAUGAACUAGCAAGAGAUGUCGCAUUCAAGCCAUUUUGAACAUUUCUUGGGGUUGGCUCUUUUAGAUGAUCAUGGUGAUAGGUUGAUUCUGUAGAUUGAAUAUCUACCCUAUGCAUGGUCCAUGAAAGAGCUUCAGACCCAGUUGUCGAUGGAAGAUAUGAAAAUGACUGUGGUUGGCUUGUAUCAACAACAUAUCGACCCUCAAGCGAAUUCGGGUCUACAGGAGAUAUAGUUUGCGAAUUAGCUCCGUGAUUCAUCAUUACAUUAACAACCUUCAAUCGAAGAGCACCAACUCAAAAACUGCAACUCAGAGAAAGAUUGGAGAUCGGAAAACGAAGAGAGGAAAUUAGCAAAGAACAAAAAAAAAAAAUUGAGAUCAAAAACCAAAAAAAAAUUCAAAUAAAAUACAAGUAUGGGAUGUGAAUGAAUUAAGCAAUACAAAGAAGAAAUAAAGGAAACUAAAAAUGAAUCGAAAGGAAGAGAAAUUGCAGAGAGAAGCAGCGAGGGCAGGAAGACAAGGGUGUGGGUGUCAAUGUUGGGUCACGAAAUGC
This 4006-nucleotide unclassified non-coding RNA is filed under the name Hevea brasiliensis (rubber tree). The record is from RNAcentral. Lineage: Eukaryota; Viridiplantae; Streptophyta; Magnoliopsida; Malpighiales; Euphorbiaceae.